Molecule: long non-coding RNA, 1017 nt
Filed under: Gallus gallus (chicken)
Lineage: Eukaryota; Metazoa; Chordata; Aves; Galliformes; Phasianidae
Description: lncRNA (ENSGALG00010006447.1)
Source: RNAcentral
CUUCUGGUCUCUUUGCUUACUGCUGUAUCCAUCACUUUCUUCAUAUCCUCUUCAUGACUAGGGAAGCUUCCAUAAAAUGAUUGACUGGUGCUGUGCAGCAGGACCUUGUGGUUGAGGUGCUGGGCAGGAAGGUGGGCAUGGUGUGGUACAGCUGUCUGCUCAUAGCUCACAUAGGGUCUCAGGAGGUGUCUGUGCUGCAGCACAGCUGGCCCAACUCAAAGCCUUCACCUUGUGCUGAAACACUUGUUGAUCCUGGCUGAGAUGCACCCAGAGGACAAGCUGGAAGCUGGCAGCUGUUUGAGACUGAGGGAAUCCUGGGCCAUUACUUUUAUAGGCCCUUUUCUACAGGAGCCUUAGAUGAAGGCACUAAUGCUCUUAUCCCUACUGUACUUGUGUGUACAUAGGAAAGGUGUAGAACCACCGAGCUACAGUGAAGUGCAGGACAACUGAAGGGCAUCACAGAGAGCUCAGAAGGUGUGGAAAAAUAAAUGCUAUGGAUAAUAAUUAAAAAAUCUGGUCAAAAUGUUAUAACUACAAAACUAAACAACAGCCCUGAUAACUGUGUAUAAUGCGUUAUAUCUGGGAGGGAGACAUGGAUUUCCUUUCUGUGAUACCACAGCAGACACGGCUUCCAUCUGAAAAUGUGAAAUGUUAAAGAAACACACUCACCAGGGAGUAGAGUAAUUAGGUGCUGAAAACAUUGGCACCCCUGCCUUGUGACACAGCAUGUUAGGCAACUAAUUCACCAGUUCUGUACUGACUUCUCCUACCUACAUUUCCAACACCAUUUUGCAAGACUGGCAGUUCCAGGCAGGCAUAGGUAGACCAUAGGGUUGGACACAUGGAUAGUACUAAGGCUGGUCUGACAGCAGCACAUCAGGUAGUGACUCCAGGCUCAGCUGCUCCAGGAGAAUGGAAGGGAUGGGUGAAAUUCUAAAUCUCACUGGUCCCAUGGGGCUGGUUUUUCCUAGAAGGUCUAAGGCCAAAAAAAGCUACAGUGAAUUAUUUCCGUUUCCC